GUUAAGGUUAAAGAUAAACAAGCAAAAUUAUCAAAAGCUUCUCUUCUAAACAAAGUCCCUGGAUAAAUCAAGAAUGUGUAUGCUGAGAGAAGUUCUGUCGGUAUGAUUCCAGGCAUAUAUAGAUGUUAAGCAAUUCUCAUCCUGUACACACAGACGACACCUAUUUGACUCUGGGCUGCAGUUCCCAAAAAAUCCUCUUUUUAAAACCAAGGCUGAGGUCGAAGAAUAAGUCAACAUCACAUUCUGAUGCCUUCAGUGCAGUGGUUUGAAGGAUAAGAAGAAACUGAUGUAUUGCAUUAUACUGCAAUUUACACACCAUACCUACUUUUCAGUUUCAUUAAUUCCUCAAUCCCAAUUAGUUUGUAAAAUAGGGGUUUCUACUGUAGGAAAAAUGGUGUAACUUUCUGGUGUCAACAAGCCCCAGACAGAGCAGCAGAUGGGUUCACAGGUGACUCAAGCUCUUCUGAUUUUUCACCCUUUUCUCCCCCCACCCCAAGAACUGAAAUUUCAAAAUUGUGAAAUAUUUUUAACCAGCUUUAGAGAUGGCAGAAAAAUGCGAACCAUCUCUUAACAAGAAAAUUCCAUUGAAUGUUUUCCUGUUUUUAGUUAAUUUUCAUCCAAAUAUUGAAAAUUUGAAAAAUUCUUACCAGCUCUGCGGAUGAGAUCCCUUAGGUUACUAAGUGAUUACCCCAUCCCCAUGCUGGAGAUGUCCGUAAAGGUCGGUUUGUAGAUUAUAAUUUAGAGACGCUCUCUCAGAAGGGACAGUAUUAUGAAUAUAGGAAUUAGGAGAUGUGCCUUGGAGGCAGGGGUUGGGAACACCACGUGGCUGUGUGCAGCAGUUCACCACAGCAACUCUCCAGUUUCUUUUAUUAAAGUUUUAUUCCUUUCUCAUUUAUUUGGUUUCUUGUUUAAUGAACCCCAAGAUUGUGACAUGGUGUCAGAAGUGCUGCAUGACAAGGAAACUGCAGUCAUUUUGAAGUUAACUCCUGUGUUUGCAACUGAAAGAGACAAAAAGAGGCACCAGACAAGCAUGUGGCGUACCAGGCACUGAGGUUUUUGCAUAUAUUUGAUGAGUUUGGGAAGCGGGGUAAACCCGUUUCUCAAAGACAAAGGACAAGUUCACACCCCUAGCCGGUGUUAUCAAAGCUGAUGGACUAUCAUCUAUCAAGUGGCCAUUCUUUGGCAUGGAAGGAGGAGAAGGGAAGAGACAAACAGAUCUGCAUCUUAGCAAACAGAGCUGAAAAGCAAAUAGCAUAACACCUCUUCCCUACUAAACUUCAAGUCUCCUUGCUCUCAGCUGGAAAUAACUCUCAGGAAAGUGCAUUUUAAAGGGUGAUUGAACUAUAAAAAAAAAAAGAGGGGCAAAAACACCCCAGGUUAUCUUUCCCUAACCAUCUCUCUUUUCCACCCAAGAUGACAAAAGAAAAACAGCCUGUGGAUUUUGUGAGCAGAUUCUGACCUGAACUUGGUCAGCAAUGACACUGGGGACCUGUGCAAAAAAUUUCAGCUUGAACCAAGUUUAGUUUGUUAAAUUUAGUACUAGAAAGCAUUGUAUCUUUAUUCUUCUUGUAACCAUUUCUGACUUUAAUGCCUCAAUACUUGUACACACUUACAUCUCUUUGUAGUUAAAGAAAAAAACAACCCUUGUUUUAUUCUUCAAUCAAAACAUAAUCCAA
Long non-coding RNA from Dermochelys coriacea (leatherback sea turtle), 1676 nucleotides. RefSeq lists it as uncharacterized. The record is from RefSeq and is a predicted model, not a curated record. NCBI's taxonomy places the organism in Eukaryota, Metazoa, Chordata, Testudines, Dermochelyidae. The transcript has 2 exons.